GGGUGCGCAGGUGAGAUUUUAUGCUGCUCUUUUCUGAGAAGCUCUGAAGGCAUAAAGGGCAUUGAAAUGGCUUCUCACCUGUGUGAGUGCGUAGGUGAGAUUUCAGGUAGGCCUUUUGUGAGAAGCUCCGAAGGCAUGAAGGGCACUGAAAUGGCUUCUCACCUGUGUGGGUGCGCAGGUGUUCAUUCAGGUGGACCUUUUGUGAGAAGCUCUGAGAGCAUGAAGGGCACUGAUAUGGCUUCUCACCUGUGUGAGUGCGCAGGUGGACUUUCAGGUGGGCUUGUUGUGAGAAGCUCUGAGAGCAUAAAGGGCACUGAAAUGGCUUCUCGCCUGUGUGGGUGCGCAGGUGGGUUUUUAGGUGGGCCUGUUGUGAGAAGCUCUGAGAGCAUGAGGGGCACUCAAAUGGCUUCUCGCCUGUGUGGGUGCGCAGGUGAACGUUUAGGUUGUAUCUGUUUGACAAGCUCCUAUGGCAUGAAGGGCACUGAAAUGUCUUCUC
RNAcentral lists this long non-coding RNA (496 nucleotides) under Dermacentor andersoni. Its description in RNAcentral is "uncharacterized LOC126526441". Lineage: Eukaryota; Metazoa; Arthropoda; Arachnida; Ixodida; Ixodidae. The record is from RNAcentral.